This 484-nucleotide ribosomal RNA is filed under the name uncultured bacterium. RNAcentral describes it as "bacterial SSU rRNA". It matches the Rfam family "Bacterial small subunit ribosomal RNA", at positions 29 to 526 of the family's 1533-position model. The record is from RNAcentral.
AAUGAACGUUGGCGGCGUGGAUUAGGCAUGCAAGUCGAGCGAGAACCCAGCAAUGGGGGACAGCGGCGAAAGGGACAGUAAUGUGUAGAUUAUCUGCCCUCAGGUCCGGGAUAGCUGCGGGAAACUGCAGGUAAUACCGGAUAACAUCUCCGGAUCAAAGGUGUGAUUCCGCCUGAGGAUGAGUCUACAUCCUAUUAGCUAGUUGGCAGGGUAAUGGCCUACCAAGGCUUUGAUGGGUAGCGGGUGUGAGAGCACGACCCGCGUCAUUGGGACUGAGACACUGCCCAGACACCUACGGGUGGCUGCAGUCGAGAAUCUUCGGCAAUGGGCGCAAGCCUGACCGAGCGACGCCGCGUGCGGGAUGAAGGCCUUCGGGUUGUAAACCGCUGUCAGAGGGGAUGAAAUGCGGGUGGGUUCUCCCAUCCGUUUGACAUAGCCUCAGAGGAAGGACGGGCUAAGUUCGUGCCAGCCGCCGCGGUAAUAC